AGUGAACGCUGGCGGCAUGCCUAACACAUGCAAGUCGAACGACAGCACAGUAAGAGCUUGCUCUUACGGGUGGCGAGUGGCGGACGGGUGACGCAUGCAUCGGAUACUUCUUUUACGUGGGGGAUAACGUCGGGAAACUUCUGCUAACACCGCAUAUGUCGUACGGGUUAAAGCAGGGGUUCUUCAGACUCUUCGCGAUUGUAAGAGCCGAGGUCGGAUUAGCUAGUUGGCGGGGUAAAGGCCCACCAAGGCCACGCUCCGUAGCUGGUCUGAGAGGAUGAUCAGCCACACUGGAACUGAGACACGGUCCAGACUCCUACGGGAGGCAGCAGUGGGGAAUAUUCGGCAAUGGGCGAAAGCCUGAUCCAGCAAUACCGCGUGAGUGAUGAAGGCCUUCGGGUUGUAAAGCCCUGUUGUUGGGAAAGAAAAGCAGCAGGUUAAUACCCGGCUAUUCUGACGGUACCCAAAGAAUAAGCACCGGCUAACUUCGUG
This 492-nucleotide ribosomal RNA is filed under the name uncultured bacterium. RNAcentral's name for it is "partial 16S ribosomal RNA". It matches the Rfam family "Bacterial small subunit ribosomal RNA", at positions 29 to 507 of the family's 1533-position model. The record is from RNAcentral.